Molecule: long non-coding RNA, 2047 nt
Filed under: Citrus maxima (pomelo)
Lineage: Eukaryota; Viridiplantae; Streptophyta; Magnoliopsida; Sapindales; Rutaceae
Description: long non-coding RNA (CMAX_LNC001840)
Source: RNAcentral
GCACGUUCUUCUCUUAAUUAAUUUACUUUGAACGGCCCAUAACCAAAUGUUAGCCAGAAACCAUGAAUUGUUGAAAUCUUUUCCACAGAAAAAAAAAUUCCCAUAAUCCAAAUCUUUUUUAAUGGAAUCGCAGUGGUACUAGGAGAAAGUAUUUCUAAACGACGUCAGAUAAAUUAAAGGCGAAAACAGAUUUGUGCCACGCAAUUGCAGCAGAGAUCGGGCAGAGCUGAAACUUCAGGAAUUAGGCACAUCUCAUUAACUGAAAAAAAAGAGUGGAAAGAUGUGUGUUUGAUCUGGUGAUGGGGCUUUCAAUCGGACGCAGCAGGUAACUCCUUGCUACAAAUUUAAUAUUUUGAUCGAAAUAUUUAAUACCGGUGAUUAGCUUAGUAGACGGGUUAUGUUCAUGUGUUAGAAAGACGAAUUGCUUUUGUAUUCUUCUUCCAGUUUGAUGAGUUUAAUUUGUUCUCAUCUGUCCGUAAUGUCUCCAGAGACCACCAGAGAUAUGUCUCCUGUGCUCGUCAAUAUAUAACUAUGCAAUUGCAUGUUUCUUGCCUCAAAUAUGAACCGUUUCAAACAAAUCAAAUUAAUCAGCAAGGAGAACUUAAUUAAUAAUUCCAUAUUCGAAAUGCGCCCGGUUAGGAGAACUAAUUAAUUUUUAGUGGUUCAAAAUCCAAACUUUUGUUUUUUUGUCCGAGAAGUUAGAGCAAUUAGGCCAAGGUCAAUUAAGAAACCGCUAGCUGUUUCUUGUGAUUUAUCGAUUAAGUGAAUGGUCAACGACUUUCAGCCUUAUGUUGGAUUACCUGUCUAGGCUGCCAAAUAAAACGGGUGAUUACAGUAUCCCAUUUUGUCUUCAAAAUGCUUAGAAAGUUUUAUCUUUUGAAGCCUUAAUUUCUUCCUGAUUUGAUGUGUAUACAUACUCCUGGAAUUAACGAACAUUCAGGGCCAGGAUCCUUCACAAUCUCAGGAGCAAUUUUGUCGUCCUUGGCUCCAUUUCUAGUAAAAUCAAGAAAACAUAACGGGGUAGUUAAUUUGGUGGCAAAUUAGAUCACGUUUGUGUGUCCCAAAUUCGAACCUCUGUUCCUCAAAUGUAAUUAUGAUCCGCAAGUCAUUUUCUAUGGUCCAAGACGUAUUUGUUUAACUAAUUUUUUUUUGGUUUUUUUUAUAAGCCACGAGGAGUUUUGCAUGGAAACCAUUAAUUCAGUACCAAAAACCCUGCCAGCUGCGACUUAAGAGAUUAUUUACUUACUUUCAUUGCAGAAGUAACAUUGUUGCGUGCAUGCUUCAACAUUAUGUUGUUGGUUACUUAGUCUGUUUUUAUAGCAACCAAUAGGUUUCAGGAUUGGGGCUCCUGAGGAAUAUCUGAACCAGUAACAAAGUAUUUGAAAAUGGCUUCUUCUUUACUUGACAAGCGAAAUACUUAAAUUCGAAACUAUAAUUUUGUUGGUUGAUCGAUAAUCUAUUCUGCCCCUUUUGGUUUUCAGCGAUUGCUUUUAAUAUUUAAGUAAUUUUUUUUUAUUUCUUGCCUUAUAAUUCACUAUCGCUUUUAUCUUCUACUAAAGUUACUAAAUACAGAUUUUUAUCUCUGUGUGUUACUGUGCAGGCCUGUGAUAGCAAUACGGAUGACCCAGAUGAAUUCAACAUCAACAUUUUGAACCUUGGUUUUGUCUUUCAUUAUAAUAUUUUGUUAUAUGUAUAACUUAAUUUCGGAUGGACCUUUGUUUAUCUUUAGAUUGGGGGAAGAUUGUGAUACUUUCCUCAAUACUCGUAUGAUUGUUCAUUACCUAAGUGUUUUGGUAUCCACCGGCACCACCACCUCACUUUCAAUUACUGUAAUGUGCAUUAAUUACCAAGCAUUUACAAUCACCAAGCAUUUACAAUUUCUCUACGGCCUGCGUGCUUUAACUUGAUAAUAUUUGCUCUAUCUGUCUGGAGUUUACAGCUAUAACUAUGGCUUAGGCAAUCCACAGCUGACAAUAGGUGAUUUGUGACCAUUUUAAUAGGCCGAGGUCCUUUACUUCCUGCUAUUACCAUAAAGUAUCAUUUGCAC